UGGGAUUAAAUUUGUGUGCCACCAUGCCUG
Molecule: non-coding RNA, 30 nt
Filed under: Mus musculus (house mouse)
Lineage: Eukaryota; Metazoa; Chordata; Mammalia; Rodentia; Muridae
Source: RNAcentral